UACGUAGGUGGCGAGCGUUAUCCGGAAUUAUUGGGCGUAAAGAGCGCGCAGGUGGUUGAUUAAGUCUGAUGUGAAAGACCACGGCUUAACCGUGGAGGGUCAUUGGAAACUGGUCGACUUGAGUGCAGAAGAGGGAAGUGGAAUUCCAUGUGUAGCGGUGAAAUGCGUAGAUAUUGGGAGGAACACCAGUGGCGAAGGCGGCUCUCUGGCCUAACCCUGACGCUGAGGCGCGAAAGCGUGGGGAUCAAACAGGAUUAGAUACCCCU
RNAcentral lists this ribosomal RNA (266 nucleotides) under uncultured prokaryote. Its description in RNAcentral is "partial 16S ribosomal RNA". It matches the Rfam family "Bacterial small subunit ribosomal RNA", at positions 524 to 788 of the family's 1533-position model. The record is from RNAcentral.